This 253-nucleotide ribosomal RNA is filed under the name uncultured bacterium. RNAcentral's name for it is "partial 16S ribosomal RNA". It matches the Rfam family "Bacterial small subunit ribosomal RNA", at positions 524 to 776 of the family's 1533-position model. The record is from RNAcentral.
UACAGGGGGUGCAAACGUUGUUCGGAAUUACUGGGCGUAAAGCGCACGUAGGCGGCUUUCUAAGUCAGGGGUGAAAUCCCGGGGCUCAACCCCGGAACUGCCCUUGAAACUGGAUGGCUAGAAUCCUGGAGAGGCGAGUGGAAUUCCGAGUGUAGAGGUGAAAUUCGUAGAUAUUAGGAAGAACACCAGUGGCGAAGGCGGCUCACUGGCCCGGUACUGACGCUGAGGCGCGAAAGCGUGGGGAGCAAACAGG